GGUUCUGGUGUUCAUAUGAAUAAAAGAGACAAAAAUGUAUGAUUUAUAACUUCAAAUUAACCAACCCAACUGAUUCAACAUGUUUAGUCCUUUAAUCCUUGUUCAUAGUACUACCUCCAUGAUCUCACACUCCUAAUCAUAUGAGCUAAAAUGUUACACAUUCAAUCUUUGAGAGAUAUAAAGAAAAAGACAUAUACAUAGAUAGAUUAUCUUUCCAUAAGGUUGAGCGAUCUGAUCUGACAAAUGUUAUAAGUACUACACUCAUGAACUUAUCAUCCAUCAACUUUGUCUUGCUCACUAUGCUUAAGGUUAGAGAAGAACAAAUACACUUUUGGUUCUGUUGGUGUUUUCCACCAACAGGACCCAUGCACUUGAUCUCUGCCUUGUCUCUAUGAGCAGGUACACUUCGAGCAAAACAUGGAGGAGUUUUAUAACUCUCAGACUCAACCAAGUGAAGGACCUGGAUCUACGAGCACAAACACACUGAGCAGGAUACUGCCAACGCCGCACUUCGAACUGCUGGGCAAACAAAGAACAUGGGUGACACCGUAUCAAGAGGUGCAGACAUUAAGGUCCGCACCUGAAUCAAAUGACGCACCUGAAGAAUGAACACGGUGAGAAGUCUUGUUCAGAAGACUUAAAACAUUGAACCCUCGCCGAAAGGUAAAAUCGGUAGUUAUCCAUAUUUAUCCUUUCUGCAUUCCCUUUUCCCUUUAAUUACUUACUUUCCUUAAAUAGCUUAUUAGUUAAUCAUACUAUCUUGAAAAGAAAAUAAAAAUGUUAAAAAUACUAAGCCCCAUGUAAGUAUGCUCGUAGCAUAAAACCCAUAAGUACAUUCACUGUAGUGGCGUAAAAAUAAAAUAAAUAUAUUCCUGUCCUAUAGAAAUGAAAAUAUAAAAAUAAAUUUAUGAUCCUACCAAAGAGAGUAACAUUUAUUGAGGAGGCUCAACAUGAUAAAAGCUAGAUAUUUAUGCUAACACUUAACUAGUUACACAAAGCUUUGUUGUCUAUUUGAGCUCCACAGAAUUCAAGGAUCAAAGAAGACUAGCAUACGGAGGACAUCCUAAUCGCUGUCAGGGUGCUGCCGACAUUCAAAUAUACCUCCGCCACCUGCUAGCUACAUCAGAAGAAAUUACGUCAAAUCCAGCUUGGGGGAGAGCACCCUCAUUUAUCCAGCUAAGUGUUUCUACUCGCAUUUAUACUUUAGUCAAAUAAUAAAAAGAUACAUAAUCAUAAAAACCCAAAUAAAGAUUUUGUGCUUAUAUAUAUAUAUAUAUAUAUAUAUAUAUAUAUAUCUUUUCUUAGUUUGCUAAAUAAAUAAAUAAAUAAAGUUUGCUAUGAACCCUCAUGAUAAGCUCUCACAUAGAAAUGAUGAAUAGUUGCUCUGCCAUGACUUGUUCUCAAAAUUGAAAUCUCUCUCAAGUUUAGGCAUGACUGUUAUGAAUUAAGAUUUGCUCUAAACCUGAACUUGUGGGAAGAGUACCUGAUCAAAAGUCUAAGUCAUUAACAAAUAUGAUAUGGGAAGGUUGAGCUGUUGUUUAUCUGUUCCUAGAGAUGCUAGAAUUCUAGAGAAUUUUAUCUUUUAAAAUCAUUAAAAUGUUGCAAGAUGAGUUCAUGUAUGAUGAGAGUUUAAAAUCCUACCACAGCCAUAUAUACAUGCUUAUUAGACUAUGAACCAUACAUUUAGUUUUUACUGCUUAUGAGCAUUGAGUGUGGUCAAGCUGUGUAGACCCUUAGGAGCUUGUCAUGCGGUUAAAAUCAAGAUUCACUUGCACGUUCACUCAUACAUGCUACUUCUACUCUUGAAGUACGCAUCCACAUACAUCCACUCAUUUCCAUCUCCAGAUUCACCCAAAAUGAUUCUACUCCUAUCCGGGAGAGAACAGCCAAAAACAUUAUCCUAUCCCUGUUAUUCCCCGUGAAAUAAAUGCUCGAUAUAUUUUGGUUACUACCACUUGCUACAUUAUUCUAGGAGGGUGAGUGCUCUGAAAAAAAAAGAAGAGAAAAAUACGAGGAAAUAAAAAGGGGCAAGUGCCCGAAACCUCGAAAGAAAAGAAAAAGUGAGACGAGAGGUAAAAAUAGACAAGUGUUCGACAGUAGAAUUAGGGGUACAAGAUACCCACCUAAGAGAAAAGAAAAAGAAAAUAUAGAACAUCUCAUUCCUCUCAAAAACCUUCAAAGUGCAAGAAAGGUAUGUAUCCCCUCAAAAGAGCAGAAGUAGAAUUAGACUUUCACCAUUAUUUUCACAAUCAUCACCAUACACCAUUCAUUCGCCACAUAUGCACAUCUUGAUUUGACUUAUUGACUUGUUUCUCUAGAUCCAUGGUUUGACUAUGCAAUAAAUGUCUUGUAAGUUUGUAUUAGCUGUCUCCCACCUAUGAGCUCCAGAUAUCAAAACCUUGUUAGAGUAGGGUGAGAGAGAAGGCAAUAUCAUUAUGCCUCGUACCAAAAACACCACAUACUUUGAGAGAAGGCACAUAUCAUCACUGCCUUGGUAAGGAUCUAGAAAUACCACAAAAGAGAGACUAGAGAGAGUCAUACAAGGAAUCUCUGAGUUUUAUUUUAAAAAUCUACAAAAACUCCAAAGCUAUAGUUGAUCAAAGAAUAAGAGACAUGGUGCUUGACUUGACCGUUCAAUCUUUUAACUGCUCAAGACACAAGUGAAGGUUGCAAGCCCCAUGGUGGAAGGUAAAAUGAGUAAGUUUUAAAUCUUAACAGUUUACCCUAAUCUAGAGAUGAGAUCUUGUUUAAACGCAUGUGUACCUUUAAGGCAUAAAACCACUACAGAAACUCUUGAGUCCAUCCUUGCUCAGGGACGAGCAAGAGGUAAGCUUGGGGGAGUUGUUGAUGGUCCUUAAGUACUAAAUAUAACCAUCACAUAAAUAAAGAAAAGGAUCCAAAUGCAACCAAAACCCAGACUUAGGGUUUUAUCUGACAAAAUUCCACGAGUUUUGGUGUUUGUCUAUUUCUGCAGGGGGUUAUCAGGAAAUAUGGAGGAAAGGCCCACAUGUCGGGUUUACAUAGAGAUAUGAAUGUGUCGCGCAAUUUUCUAUCAUCUAGAAGACUCCAGAAGCCACAGGAACAAACGGGAGGCCGAGCGGGCUCGGGGGCAGGGCGCCCGCCCUCCCCCCUUGGGCGCCCGCCCUGUCCCAGAGUCCAAUCAGGACUCUCUUCGGGGAUUAUGCUCCACCGACCUAAAGGUUCAAGAAUAACCGUUCAAUCAAUGUCGGUUUGAUCCGACGGCCCAGAUUCACUUGAGGGGACUAUAUAAGCAUACCCCCUGGCCCCUGGAGGAGGCACCCCCUUGAUCCCUAUUCAUUAUUCAUAGACAGAGCAAAAGCUAGGGUUUGGUGAUGAGAGCUCUCCUCUCAUCUCUAAACUAGAGUAUAUCUAGAUAGUAGCAAGAUGGAGAGCGAGGGAGGAUUAGAGGAGAGGCCGGCC
This 3441-nucleotide long non-coding RNA is filed under the name Sorghum bicolor (sorghum). RNAcentral describes it as "long non-coding RNA (SBIC_LNC018107)". Lineage: Eukaryota; Viridiplantae; Streptophyta; Magnoliopsida; Poales; Poaceae. The record is from RNAcentral.